RNAcentral lists this ribosomal RNA (253 nucleotides) under uncultured bacterium. Its description in RNAcentral is "partial 16S ribosomal RNA". It matches the Rfam family "Bacterial small subunit ribosomal RNA", at positions 524 to 776 of the family's 1533-position model. The record is from RNAcentral.
UACGGAGGGUGCAAGCGUUAUCCGGAUUCACUGGGUUUAAAGGGUGCGUAGGUGGGCAGGUAAGUCAGUGGUGAAAUCUCCGAGCUUAACUCGGAAACUGCCGUUGAUACUAUUUGUCUUGAAUAUUGUGGAGGUAAGCGGAAUAUGUCAUGUAGCGGUGAAAUGCUUAGAUAUGACAUAGAACACCAAUUGCGAAGGCAGCUUACUACACAGUUAUUGACGCUGAGGCACGAAAGCGUGGGGAUCAAACAGG